Molecule: transfer RNA, 86 nt
Filed under: Aspergillus minisclerotigenes
Lineage: Eukaryota; Fungi; Ascomycota; Eurotiomycetes; Eurotiales; Aspergillaceae
Description: tRNA-Val
Source: RNAcentral
AGUUGCGUGGUCUAAUGGUUAUGAUUUCUCAUUCACAUUCUGGUUGUUAACUGAGAAGGUUCCCGGUUCGAUCCCGGGCGCGACUA